GUUUACAGAUAUUGCUGUCAAACACAAAGGAGACAAGCAACCAUUGACGUUAGUACAAUUUCGAAAAAUGUUAGGAUUAUCACCCGUGGAUGAGGAAGUAGAGAAAAUAUUAGAAUCUCGACAUUUACUCUUAAAUCCAACUAAUAGCGAUGCUAUUAUUAAGGCGGAAGCUUUAUCCGAGUACUUUAACAAGAUCAUUCUUUUGGACAGUUUUGGUAAGGAAAUAAAUACUAACAUAUGACGUACAUAUAUAACAAAUAAUAAAAACAUUCGUAACGC
This is a long non-coding RNA of Melitaea cinxia (Glanville fritillary), 279 nucleotides long. RefSeq lists it as uncharacterized. The transcript is spliced from 4 exons. The record is from RefSeq and is a predicted model, not a curated record. NCBI's taxonomy places the organism in Eukaryota, Metazoa, Arthropoda, Insecta, Lepidoptera, Nymphalidae.